AAAGGUGUGCUAAUACCGGAUACGCUGAUUUAUCAGGAAAGGUGGCCUCUUCAUGAAAGCUACUGUGCCGGGAGGAGCUUGCGUACCAUUAGCUAGUUGGUGGGGUAAUGGCCUACCAAGGCAACGAUGGUUAGCGGGUCUGAGAGGAUGAUCCGCCACACUGGAACUGGAACACGGACCAGACUCCUACGGGAGGCAGCAGUGAGGAAUAUUGCGCAAUGGGGGCAACCCUGACGCAGCGACGCCGCGUGGAUGAUGAAGGCCUUCGGGUCGUAAAAUCCUGUCAGAUGGAAAGAAAUGCCAGAUGUCUAAUAUAUGUCUGGUUUGACGGUACCAUCAAAGGAAGCACCGGCUAACUCCGUGCCAGCAGCCGCGGUAAUACGGAGGGUGCAAGCGUUGUUCGGAAUUACUGGGCGUAAAGCGCGCGUAGGCGGCUAUUUAAGUCAGAUGUGAAAGUCCACGGCUCAACCGUGGAAGUGCAUUUGAUACUGGGUAGCUUGAGUACUGGAGGGGAUGGUGGAAUUCCCGGUGUAGAGGUGAAAUUCGUAGAUAUCGGGAGGAAUACCGGUGGCGAAGGCGACCAUCUGGCCAGAUACUGACGCUGAGGUG
RNAcentral lists this ribosomal RNA (609 nucleotides) under Desulfopila sp. PR2_G07. Its description in RNAcentral is "bacterial SSU rRNA". It matches the Rfam family "Bacterial small subunit ribosomal RNA", at positions 154 to 753 of the family's 1533-position model. Lineage: Bacteria; Pseudomonadati; Thermodesulfobacteriota; Desulfobulbia; Desulfobulbales; Desulfocapsaceae. The record is from RNAcentral.